RNAcentral lists this ribosomal RNA (440 nucleotides) under uncultured bacterium. RNAcentral's name for it is "partial 16S ribosomal RNA". It matches the Rfam family "Bacterial small subunit ribosomal RNA", at positions 338 to 795 of the family's 1533-position model. The record is from RNAcentral.
CCUACGGGUGGCAGCAGUGGGGAAUAUUGCACAAUGGGGGAAACCCUGAUGCAGCGACGCCGCGUGAGCGAUGAAGUAUUUCGGUAUGUAAAGCUCUAUCAGCAGGGAAGAAAAUGCCGGUACCUGACUAAGAAGCUUCGGCCAACAACGUGCCAGCAGCCGCGGGAAUACGUAGGGGGCAAGCGUUAUCCGGAUUUACUGGGUGUAAAGGGAGCGUAGACGGCUGUGCAAGCCAGAUGUGAAAGCCCGGGGCUCAACCCCGGGACUGCAUUUGGAACUGUGUGGCUGGAGUGUCGGAGAGGCAGGCGGAAUUCCAAGUGUAGCGGUGAAAUGCGUAGAUAUUAGGAAGAACACCAGUGGCGAAGGCGGCCUGCUGGACGGUGACUGACGCUGAGGCUCGAAAGCGUGGGGAGCAAACAGGAUUAGAUACCCCUGUAGUC